Molecule: small nucleolar RNA, 88 nt
Filed under: Ceratocystis platani
Lineage: Eukaryota; Fungi; Ascomycota; Sordariomycetes; Microascales; Ceratocystidaceae
Also listed under: 1 other name
Description: A. fumigatus snoRNA Afu_455
Rfam family: A. fumigatus snoRNA Afu_455
Source: Rfam by way of RNAcentral
UUGGGUGAUGAAUUAUACGACUUGGGAUUCCUCAAACCGAACAUACUAUGUCGAUUACGUUGUAAACUAGUUUCAGCCUUGUCUGACA